AGGGAGAUAUUGUAAGGUGUUGUGGAUUUGUUGGUGUUCAAUUCCAGAUGAAACAUCAAAGAUCUUGUGGAUUUGUUUGGAAGCAGUCUCACACAGAGGUGAGGGAGCUCUCAUAGUAGAGAGAGAAUCUCUCAUUUAAGAGAGAGACUGGGACAGUAAUUUGCAUGUUACUUAGUGUUCCUCUCCCUUAGGCAUCUUCAGUUCAACGAUGUCCACAGAAAUUCUUCUCUCUCCCUCUCUUCCCCCACCACCCCACUCUAUCCUCAAGGGUCUAUAAAUUGGUUGAGGCCAAGCCACAUUAAGUUCACUCAACAAUCUUGUCUUGAUCACCUUAAUUGUGUUGUUAAGAAAAACAUGGCAUCCUCCUCCAAGACUUUUCUUCUUCUUGGCUUUAUGUGUGCUCUUGUGAUCCUCAUCUCCUCUGAGGUCUCAGCUCGUGAGCUAGCGGAAAUUACUAAGCCAGCAAUUCCUGUUAGGGGCAAUACCUAUCCCUUUAAAGGCCGUCCAAGUGCGCGAACUGUCAGAUGCAUGCAGUCCGUAUACCUAUCAAUUUAGAACAUUUCGCCGGGCCCCGCCCCCUCCCCCGGCCCUAGCCCCGCACUGGCAGCAGCGCCGGGCCCUACCCCUGCCCCCGGCACCGGAACCGGAACCGGAACCGCCCCUGCCCCCUCUUCCCCCGGCACCGGAACCACCCCCAUCCCCGUCCCCACCCUUGGCUCCUGUCCCGGGAGAGUAUAGGCAAGGCCAAGGGCACCAUGAAAAACCAGGACUUGGUGUUGCUGAGACUGAAACUGGGAAUUAAAUAGAUAACCCUUUUUCAGUGGAUAUUGCAGGUACUGUGUGGUAAUAAUUAAGAGUUUGUUUUGUCAAUAAAGGUCAAUGUAAUGUAUUGGUUGAGUUGUUAAUAAAACUCUCAAUCAUAAUUAAGUAGGAUUUUAAGGUUUAUCUUUG
Molecule: RNA transcript, 951 nt
Organism: Prunus avium (sweet cherry)
Lineage: Eukaryota; Viridiplantae; Streptophyta; Magnoliopsida; Rosales; Rosaceae
Source: RefSeq, a predicted model, not a curated record